Molecule: ribosomal RNA, 479 nt
Filed under: uncultured bacterium
Lineage: Bacteria
Description: partial 16S ribosomal RNA
Rfam family: Bacterial small subunit ribosomal RNA
Source: RNAcentral
GACGAACGCUGGCGGCGUGCUUAACACAUGCAAGUCGAGCGAUGAAGCACCUUCGGGUGUGAAUUAGCGGCGAACGGGUGAGGAACACGUGAGAAAUCUGCCUUCAACUCUGGGAUAACUCCGUGAAAACGGGGCUAAUACCGGAUAUGAAACCUGCGGGCAUCCGCGGGUUUGGAAAGUUUUUCGGUUGAAGAUGAUCUCGCGGCCUAUCAGCUUGUUGGUGAGGUAAUGGCUCACCAAGGCGACGACGGGUAGCCGGCCUGAGAGGGCGACCGGCCACACUGGGACUGAGACACGGCCCAGACUCCUACGGGAGGCAGCAGUGGGGAAUAUUGGGCAAUGGAGGAAACUCUGACCCAGCGACGCCGCGUGCGGGAUGAAGGCCUUCGGGUUGUAAACCGCUUUCAGCAGGGAAGAAGCGAAAGUGACGGUGCCUGCAGAAGAAGCACCGGCUAACUAUGUGCCAGCCGUCGCCGUAA